GUCGAACGGUAACGCGGGGCAACCUGGCGACGAGUGGCGAACGGGUGAGUAACGCAUCGGAACGUGCCCAGUAGUGGGGGAUAGCCCGGCGAAAGCCGGAUUAAUACCGCAUACGACCUAAGGGUGAAAGCGGGGGAUCGCAAGACCUCGCGCUAUUGGAGCGGCCGAUGUCAGAUUAGGUAGUUGGUGGGGUAAAGGCCUACCAAGCCGACGAUCUGUAGCUGGUCUGAGAGGACGACCAGCCACACUGGGACUGAGACACGGCCCAGACUCCUACGGGAGGCAGCAGUGGGGAAUUUUGGACAAUGGGCGCAAGCCUGAUCCAGCCAUGCCGCGUGCGGGAAGAAGGCCUUCGGGUUGUAAACCGCUUUUGUCAGGGAAGAAAAGGCUCGAACUAAUACUUUGGGCUCAUGACGGUACCUGAAGAAUAAGCACCGGCUAACUACGUGCCAGCAGCCGCGGUAAUACGUAGGGUGCAAGCGUUAAUCGGAAUUACUGGGCGUAAAGCGUGCGCAGGCGGUCUUGUAAGACAGAGGUGAAAUCCCCGGGCUCAACCUGGGAACUGCCUUUGUGACUGCAAGGCUUGAGUACGGUAGAGGGGGAUGGAAUUCCGCGUGUAGCAGUGAAAUGCGUAGAUAUGCGGAGGAACACCGAUGGCGAAGGCAAUCCCCUGGGACCUGUACUGACGCUCAUGCACGAAAGCGUGGG
Molecule: ribosomal RNA, 708 nt
Filed under: uncultured beta proteobacterium
Lineage: Bacteria; Pseudomonadati; Pseudomonadota; Betaproteobacteria
Description: bacterial SSU rRNA
Rfam family: Bacterial small subunit ribosomal RNA
Source: RNAcentral